AUUGAACGCUGGAGGCAGGCCUAACACAUGCACGUAGAACGAGUGGCGGACGGGUGAGUAAUGACUGGGCAACUGCCUGAUGGAGGGGGAUAACUACUGGAAACGGUAGCUAAUACCGCACACCAUCAGAUGUGCCCAGAUGGGAUUAGCCAGUAGGUGGGGUAAAGGCUCAACUAGGCGACGAUCCCUAGCUGGUCUGAGAGGAUGAUCGACCACAGUGGGGCUGAGAAGAGGCCCAGACUCCUACGAGAAGCAGCAGUGAGGAAUAUUGCACAAUGGGCGCAAGCGUGAUGCAGCCAUGCCGCGUAUAUGAAGAAGGCCUUCGGGUUGUAAAGUACUUUCAACGAUGAGGCGUUACUCGCAGAAGAAGCCCCGGCUAACUCCGUACCAGCCGCCGCGGUAAUUC
Molecule: ribosomal RNA, 406 nt
Filed under: uncultured bacterium
Lineage: Bacteria
Description: partial 16S ribosomal RNA
Rfam family: Bacterial small subunit ribosomal RNA
Source: RNAcentral